UACGUAGGUCCCGAGCGUUGUCCGGAUUUAUUGGGCGUAAAGCGAGCGCAGGCGGUUCUUUAAGUCUGAAGUUAAAGGCAGUGGCUGAACCAUUGUACGCUUUGGAAACUGGAGGACUUGAGUGCAGAAGGGGAGAGUGGAAUUCCAUGUGUAGCGGUGAAAUGCGUAGAUAUAUGGAGGAACACCGGUGGCGAAAGCGGCUCUCUGGUCUGUAACUGACGCUGAGGCUCGAAAGCGUGGGGAGCAAACAGG
RNAcentral lists this ribosomal RNA (252 nucleotides) under uncultured microorganism. RNAcentral's name for it is "partial 16S ribosomal RNA". It matches the Rfam family "Bacterial small subunit ribosomal RNA", at positions 524 to 776 of the family's 1533-position model. The record is from RNAcentral.